CAGUCCGUGGGACCCCCAAGUUGGGGGGCUGGAGUGGGGCCGGCCGUGGCUGCCCCACACUUGGGGGGCUGGAGUGGGUCAGGCCGGCCGUGGGUCCCGCCGUGGGUCCCGCCGUGGGGCUCGCUGUGGGGCUCGCUGUGGGGCUGGCCAUGGGUCCCGCUGUGGGUCUCUCUGUGGGUCUUGUUAUGGGGCUGGCCAGAGGUCCCGCCGUGGGUCCCGCUAUGGGUCACGCCGUGGGUCUCGCCGUGGGUCCCGCUAUGGGUCCGGCCGCCCUCACCCCACAGCUCCCUCCGUGGGUCACCCCCAGCCCCACUUAUGGGGCAGCCGUGGGGCUGGGCGCCGGGAGGGAGCCGAGGGGCGAGGAGGGGGCCACGGGACCGCCACGGGACCACCACGGGACCGCCAUGGGGCCGCUGUGGGGCAGCCGUGGGGCAGCCGUGGGGCAGCCGUGGGGCAGCCGUGGGUCACUGUGGGGCGGGGGUCGGCGCCGUGGGGCUGAGCUCGGCCGAGAGCGCGUCGAAGGCCUGCAGCAUGGCGCCGCGCACCCGCUCCGUCAGCGCCGGGACGUCCGCGGGGCCCAGCCCCUGCGUGGGCAGCGGGGGCAGCACCUGGAUCACGCACUGCCCUAGAGAUAGG
This 636-nucleotide long non-coding RNA is filed under the name Anas platyrhynchos platyrhynchos (common mallard). Its description in RNAcentral is "lncRNA (ENSAPLG00000027249.1)". The record is from RNAcentral. Lineage: Eukaryota; Metazoa; Chordata; Aves; Anseriformes; Anatidae.